This 637-nucleotide ribosomal RNA is filed under the name Trischistoma ripariana. RNAcentral describes it as "SSU rRNA". It matches the Rfam family "Eukaryotic small subunit ribosomal RNA", at positions 1144 to 1804 of the family's 1831-position model. The record is from RNAcentral. Lineage: Eukaryota; Metazoa; Nematoda; Enoplea; Enoplida; Trischistomatidae.
UUAAAGGAAUUGACGGAAGGGCACCACCAGGAGUGGAGCCUGCGGCUUAAUUUGACUCAACGCGGGGAAACUCACCCGGCCCGGACACCGUAAGGAUUGACAGACUGAGAGCUCUUUCUUGAUUCGGUGGAUGGUGGUGCAUGGCCGUUCUUAGUUGGUGGAGCGAUUUGUCUGGUUAAUUCCGAUAACGAACGAGACUCUGGCCUACUAAAUAGUCGGAAGAUCGCCUGUUUUCCGUACUUCUUAGAGGGACAGAAGGCUUCUAGCCUUACGAGAUUGAGCAAUAACAGGUCUGUGAUGCCCUUAGAUGUCCGGGGCUGCACGCGCGCUACACUGAAGGAAUCAACGAGUUUGCUUCCUGCUUCGAAAGGAGUGGGUAACCCGUUGAAACUCCUUCGUGAUUGGGAUAGGGGCUUGUAAUUAUUCCCCUUGAACGAGGAAUUCCUAGUAAGCGCGGGUCAACAUCUCGUGUUGAUUACGUCCCUGCCCUUUGUACACACCGCCCGUCGCUACUACCGAUGGAUGAUUUAGUGAGGCGCUCGGACCGGCGUCAUAGCGGCCGAAAGGCUGCCCUGACGAUUGGAAAGAGAACCUAACUGCAUCAUCUAGAGGAAGUAAAAGUCGUAACAAGGUUUCC